This 96-nucleotide transfer RNA is filed under the name Pyrobaculum neutrophilum V24Sta. RNAcentral's name for it is "tRNA-OTHER". It matches the Rfam family "tRNA". Rfam says of the family: Transfer RNA (tRNA) molecules are approximately 80 nucleotides in length. Their secondary structure includes four short double-helical elements and three loops (D, anti-codon, and T loops). The record is from RNAcentral. Lineage: Archaea; Thermoproteati; Thermoproteota; Thermoprotei; Thermoproteales; Thermoproteaceae.
GGGCCGGUAGUCUAGCGGAAGGAUGCCCAGGGGGUCUGCCCCCGCGUAGGCCUCGCGCGCGGGAGAUCCCGGGUUCGAAUCCCGGCCGGUCCACCA